UCUCUUAAUUGGUGACUUGUAUGAAAGAUUGGAUGAAAUAUAUACUGUCUCUAAUUAAUUUAUAAAAUUUAAUUUUUUAGUAAAAAAGCUAAAAUAAGUUUAAAAGACGAGAAGACCCUAUAGAGUUUAAUAAUUUAUUUAAUUAUUAUUAAUAUUUAAAUUUUAAAAUUAAAAUUAAAUAAAUUAUUUUGUUGGGGUGAUAGAAAAAUUAAAUUAACUUUUUUUUAUUUUUAAACAUUAAUUUAUGAAUAGAUGAUCCAUUAAUAAUGAUUAAAAGAAAAAAUUACCUUAGGGAUAACAGCGUAAUUUUUUUUUUUAGUUCAAAUAGGAAAAAAAGUUUGCCACCUCGAUGUUGGAUUAAGAUAAAAUUUAAAUGCAAAAGUUUAAAAUUUUGAUCUGUUCGAUCAUUAAAAUCUUA
This 418-nucleotide ribosomal RNA is filed under the name Papilio paris paris. RNAcentral's name for it is "partial 16S ribosomal RNA". The record is from RNAcentral. Lineage: Eukaryota; Metazoa; Arthropoda; Insecta; Lepidoptera; Papilionidae.